AACCAAAAAGGGCUGUCACUUUCUCUCUUUCCAAGAGGAAGAUCCGACACUGCAAAUGGAAGCACUCAGCACCCUGUCCCUCCCCCCAGGUAAUCUUCUGAGCUACCCAAAGCUGGAUAUAGAGCAGCCUCUCCUUUUGAAGCCAUCAUUUUCUCCACGGGAUUGUCCCUUAUUACUAAAAGUGUAACGCUUUCCAGAAACAA
Molecule: non-coding RNA, 203 nt
Organism: Heterocephalus glaber (naked mole-rat)
Lineage: Eukaryota; Metazoa; Chordata; Mammalia; Rodentia; Bathyergidae
Source: RefSeq, a predicted model, not a curated record